GGUUGUGGCUCAGUGGUAAAGUGCUCGCCUCAGAAUUGUGAAGACCUGGGCUCAAGCCUCAGCACCA
RNAcentral lists this transfer RNA (67 nucleotides) under Marmota monax (woodchuck). RNAcentral describes it as "tRNA.Leu". The record is from RNAcentral. Lineage: Eukaryota; Metazoa; Chordata; Mammalia; Rodentia; Sciuridae.